AUACUGUGAUACUGACUGAAGGAUAGGAUCUGUGUAAUAAUAUUUGCCGUUGUUUCCGGUGAGACUAAUUUUUGGCUUUGUUUUUUGUUAUUGUUUUUUUAUUUUCACUAAAUUGCAAAUUGCCAGACAGCAUAAUCUACAGAGAGGAAGAAGUUCCUGAAUAACUGUAUGUCUACAAACUCAGAGCAUCACAAUCAUCACAACCCAGAGAACAGAAGAGCAUCAACAGAGCAGAUCUGACUUACUAAACAUGGACAGACACUUGAUACUGAUUUUAAUCAUGACUUUAGGUGCAAAGGCAGCAGACCAGAUUGGGCCAGAUCAGGGUGAAAAAGUCAUCAGUACUGAAGGAGAGUCUGUGAGAUUAAGCUGCUCAUAUGAUACAAGUAGCAGAGAUGUUAGACUUUACUGGUACAGACAGUAUCUUAAUAAAGAACCUCAGUAUUUAAUGUGGAAAGGUGCUCGGGACCGGGGUGGUACUACUGGAACCCCUGCUGAUCGUCGCUUUCAGUCGACUGCAUCAGAAAAAUCCACUGAACUCACUAUUACUGGUGUAACUCUGUCAGAUUCAGCUCUCUAUUAUUGUGCUCUAAGAGUUGGAGCCCAGUGAUACAAAGUCUAUGUGAAGCCGUACAAAAACUCAAUUUAAUUUUUCUCUUUGAAGCUCAACCACAUCAAAACCACAAUUUUAUAAAUAGAAACUAAUAAAUUAUUUGGAAACACCUGCAAACAACUGUGAUAAGAAAUGUUAUUCAAAAAAAGAAAUGUUUAAUAAUGUGCCAAUAAAACCUCAAAAUAUCAUCAGGAGUCACGGGUAUUAUGUUUGUAUGCCUUUUUUUCAGCUCUCCUGAUCAUUUAUUUUACACCAGCUGUCAUGCAGAUGUUAUGCAGUAGAAGA
Molecule: non-coding RNA, 898 nt
Organism: Carassius gibelio (silver crucian carp)
Lineage: Eukaryota; Metazoa; Chordata; Actinopteri; Cypriniformes; Cyprinidae
Source: the annotation of a RefSeq genome assembly